This is a long non-coding RNA of Bos taurus (domestic cattle), 837 nucleotides long. The record is from Ensembl. Lineage: Eukaryota; Metazoa; Chordata; Mammalia; Artiodactyla; Bovidae.
CAAAACACAAAACAUCUCCCUGUGCACGAACUCCUCACAUUCAGGUACACAUACAAACACAUCCUUCCACGUCCUCUUCCAUACCCCUUCCCCUCAGCCCCCCUACUCAUGAUCUGCGGUACCCUCAGUCCCAAAUCAUAAUCAGCGCCCGCGCAGCCCGGGUUGGACACAAACGCGCGCACGCGCGCACUCCCCUCCCCGCGCCAGCUGGGGAGGCUUCGGGCGGGCGCCGGCUUCGGAUUCCAGGUGUAGUGGCGGUUCCGCGCUCCGCGUUUUCCAGUCCGCCGCGGUGUUGGAGGCGAGGCGAGGAAGGGAGCUGGAAUAACAAAGGGCCGGCGAGAUCAUUCCUUCCACCACCGGAGGGAGAAGAGGCAAAAUGAAUUUGCCAGCCCUGAAUUCAUUCUCAAGGCUACGCUAUUCUGACAGCCAGCAAACUCAGCCUGGAUUCCUGAGAGCUCAGAGGACUGCAGCUCAGCUAUUUGUGUACACGGCUUAUCUCGCUGCCAGACUGAGAGGCAGCGCGGGCUUGUUGAAAGAGCAUGGACUUUGGAGCCGUACGACCUGGCCCUGAAUCCCAGCCCUGCCGCUUAGGGCUGUGAGCCUUUGGGAGCUUACACCACCUCUUGGAGCCUCAGUUUCCUUAUCUGUAAAGUGGGGCUGAUGAUAACUACCAAGGUGGUUUGACCAUUAAAUGAGCUUAGAAAUGUAAGCCUCCUUUCCUGUUUCUGUCUGGACUGUCAUCCCCUUUGGGACAAAGGUUGUAUCCAGCAUCUGUUUGUAUUAUCCUGGUUAUAACAAUAACAGUAUAAUGACAACAAUGGGAACGACUUAGUGGCC